AACGAACGCUGGCGGCAUGCCUAACACAUGCAAGUCGAACGAGACCUUCGGGUCUAGUGGCGCACGGGUGCGUAACGCGUGGGAACCUGCCCUUAGGUUCGGAAUAACUCCCCGAAAGGGGUGCUAAACCGGAUAAUGUUUUUGGACCAAAGAUUUAUCGCCUUUGGAUGGGCCCGCGUUGGAUUAGCUAGUUGGUAGGGUAAAAGCCUACCAAGGCGACGAUCCAUAGCUGGUCUGAGAGGAUGAUCAGCCACACUGGGACUGAGACACGGCCCAGACUCCUACGGGAAGCAGCAGUGGGGAAUAUUGGACAAUGGGCGAAAGCCUGAUCCAGCAAUGCCGCGUGAGUGAUGAAGGCCUUAGGGUUGUAAAGCUCUUUUACCCGGGAUGAUAAUGACAGUACCGGGAGAAUAAGCGCCGGCUAACUCCGUG
Molecule: ribosomal RNA, 432 nt
Filed under: uncultured bacterium
Lineage: Bacteria
Description: partial 16S ribosomal RNA
Rfam family: Bacterial small subunit ribosomal RNA
Source: RNAcentral